CUCCAGACUCCUACGGGAGGCAGCAGUGGGGAAUAUUGCACAAUGGGGGGAACCCUGAUGCGGCGACGCCGCGUGGGUGAAGGAGUAUUUCGGUAUGUAAAGCCCUAUCAGCAGGGAAGAACAAUGACGGUACCUGACUAAGAAGCACCGGCUAAAUACGUGCCAGCAGCCGCGGUAAUACGUAUGGUGCAAGCGUUAUCCGGAUUUACUGGGUGUAAAGGGAGCGUAGACGGCCAUGCAAGCCAGGGGUGAAAGCCCGGGGCCCAACCCCGGGACUGCCCUUGGAACUGCAUGGCUGGAGUGCGGGAGGGGCAGGCGGAAUUCCUGGUGUAGCGGUGAAAUGCGUAGAUAUCAGGAGGAACACCGGCGGCGAAGGCGGUCUGCUGGACCGCGACUGACGUUGAGGCUCGAAAGCGUGGGGAGCGAACAGGAUUAGAUACCCCUGUA
This 447-nucleotide ribosomal RNA is filed under the name uncultured bacterium. RNAcentral describes it as "bacterial SSU rRNA". It matches the Rfam family "Bacterial small subunit ribosomal RNA", at positions 329 to 792 of the family's 1533-position model. The record is from RNAcentral.